GGUGGGCAUGGCUCUGACGUCAUGGAGAAUUGAACGCGUGACUAGAUCCAUACUCACCAG
RNAcentral lists this microRNA precursor (60 nucleotides) under Triops cancriformis. Lineage: Eukaryota; Metazoa; Arthropoda; Branchiopoda; Notostraca; Triopsidae. The record is from RNAcentral.